AAUCAACGCUGGCGGCGUGCCUCAGACAUGCAAGUCGAACGCGAAAGGCCCCUUCGGGGGCCGAGUAGAGUGGCGCACGGGUGAGUAACACGUGGGUAAUCUACCUCUGGGUGGGGAAUAACGACCGGAAACGGUCGCUAAUACCGCAUAAUGCAGCGGCACCACAUGGUGACAGUUGUUAAAGCGGGGGAUCGUAAGACCUCGCGCCUAGAGAGGAGCCCGCGGCGGAUUAGCAGUUGGCAGGGUAACGGCCUACCAAGGCAACGAUCCGUAGCCGGCCUGAGAGGGCGGUCGGCCACACUGGCACUGACAUACGGGCCAGACUCCUACGGGAGGCAGCAGUCGGGAAUUUUGGGCAAUGGGCGAAAGCCUGACCCAGCAACGCCGCGUGAAGGAUAGAAA
RNAcentral lists this ribosomal RNA (402 nucleotides) under uncultured bacterium. Its description in RNAcentral is "bacterial SSU rRNA". It matches the Rfam family "Bacterial small subunit ribosomal RNA", at positions 29 to 414 of the family's 1533-position model. The record is from RNAcentral.